Molecule: long non-coding RNA, 445 nt
Filed under: Setaria viridis
Lineage: Eukaryota; Viridiplantae; Streptophyta; Magnoliopsida; Poales; Poaceae
Description: long non-coding RNA (SVIR_LNC011296)
Source: RNAcentral
AAUUAAUAUGAUUUUAAACUAAAAAUAGAUAGGGCUAAGUUGGAUUGUGAAGGAGGCAUAAGGGUCAUGAUCCAUUACUAAGUGGUUAGCGCGCGCAUACUGCUUGUAGAAAAGAAUACAACAAUGCUGAUGGUUUCUCCCAAAACGAUUUCGAUAAUAAAAACCAAAGUUAAAACCAAAACAAUUUUGAUAAUAAAAACCAAAGUUAAUGAAGAAAAAAAUAAUUUUACCAGUUCAUUGUUGCCUCGAUUUAUGUUAUCUUUCUCACUUAUAGCAUACUAAAACAUGUCUUUUACCUUUGGGUUGAAUCAAAGAGAAAUAUUUCCUCCAUCCUAAAAUAUAAUAAAGAGACACUUCACUCGCAAAAGAUGCAUGUACCCCUACCCCGAGUUAAUUAUAACGUGGAGAGUUGUGUUGAUGGCAUCAGGGAAAACAAUAAGUCCAC